CUGUGAGCUCGAUGAGUAGGGCGGGACACGUGGUAUCCUGUCUGAAUAUGGGGGGACCAUCCUCCAAGGCUAAAUACUCCUGACUGACCGAUAGUGAACCAGUACCGUGAGGGAAAGGCGAAAAGAACCCCGGCGAGGGGAGUGAAAAAGAACCUGAAACCGUGUACGUACAAGCAGUGGGAGCACGCUUAGGCGUGUGACUGCGUACCUUUUGUAUAAUGGGUCAGCGACUUAUAUUCUGUAGCAAGGUUAACCGAAUAGGGGAGCCGAAGGGAAACCGAGUCUUAACUGGGCGUUAAGUUGCAGGGUAUAGACCCGAAACCCGGUGAUCUAGCCAUGGGCAGGUUGAAGGUUGGGUAACACUAACUGGAGGACCGAACCGACUAAUGUUGAAAAAUUAGCGGAUGACUUGUGGCUGGGGGUGAAAGGCCAAUCAAACCGGGAGAUAGCUGGUUCUCCCCGAAAGCUAUUUAGGUAGCGCCUCGUGAAUUCAUCUCCGGGGGUAGAGCACUGUUUCGGCAAGGGGGUCAUCCCGACUUACCAACCCGAUGCAAACUGCGAAUACCGGAGAAUGUUAUCACGGGAGACACACGGCGGGUGCUAACGUCCGUCGUGAAGAGGGAAACAACCCAGACCGCCAGCUAAGGUCCCAAAGUCAUGGUUAAGUGGGAAACGAUGUGGGAAGGCCCAGACAGCCAGGAUGUUGGCUUAGAAGCAGCCAUCAUUUAAAGAAAGCGUAAUAGCUCACUGGUCGAGUCGGCCUGCGCGGAAGAUGUAACGGGGCUAAACCAUGCACCGAAGCUGCGGCAGCGACGCUUAUGCGUUGUUGGGUAGGGGAGCGUUCUGUAAGCCUGUGAAGGUGUGCUGUGAGGCAUGCUGGAGGUAUCAGAAGUGCGAAUGCUGACAUAAGUAACGAUAAAGCGGGUGAAAAGCCCGCUCGCCGGAAGACCAAGGGUUCCUGUCCAACGUUAAUCGGGGCAGGGUGAGUCGACCCCUAAGGCGAGGCCGAAAGGCGUAGUCGAUGGGAAACAGGUUAAUAUUCCUGUACUUGGUGUUACUGCGAAGGGGGGACGGAGAAGGCUAUGUUGGCCGGGCGACGGUUGUCCCGGUUUAAGCGUGUAGGCUGGUUUUCCAGGCAAAUCCGGAAAAUCAAGGCUGAGGCGUGAUGACGAGGCACUACGGUGCUGAAGCAACAAAUGCCCUGCUUCCAGGAAAAGCCUCUAAGCAUCAGGUAACAUCAAAUCGUACCCCAAACCGACACAGGUGGUCAGGUAGAGAAUACCAAGGCGCUUGAGAGAACUCGGGUGAAGGAACUAGGCAAAAUGGUGCCGUAACUUCGGGAGAAGGCACGCUGAUAUGUAGGUGAAGUCCCUCGCGGAUGGAGCUGAAAUCAGUCGAAGAUACCAGCUGGCUGCAACUGUUUAUUAAAAACACAGCACUGUGCAAACACGAAAGUGGACGUAUACGGUGUGACGCCUGCCCGGUGCCGGAAGGUUAAUUGAUGGGGUCAGCGCAAGCGAAGCUCUUGAUCGAAGCCCCGGUAAACGGCGGCCGUAACUAUAACGGUCCUAAGGUAGCGAAAUUCCUUGUCGGGUAAGUUCCGACCUGCACGAAUGGCGUAAUGAUGGCCAGGCUGUCUCCACCCGAGACUCAGUGAAAUUGAACUCGCUGUGAAGAUGCAGUGUACCCGCGGCAAGACGGAAAGACCCCGUGAACCUUUACUAUAGCUUGACACUGAACAUUGAGCCUUGAUGUGUAGGAUAGGUGGGAGGCUUAGAAGUGUGGACGCCAGUCUGCAUGGAGCCGACCUUGAAAUACCACCCUUUAAUGUUUGAUGUUCUAACGUUGACCCGUAAUCCGGGUUGCGGACAGUGUCUGGUGGGUAGUUUGACUGGGGCGGUCUCCUCCUAAAGAGUAACGGAGGAGCACGAAGGUUGGCUAAUCCUGGUCGGACAUCAGGAGGUUAGUGCAAUGGCAUAAGCCAGCUUGACUGCGAGCGUGACGGCGCGAGCAGGUGCGAAAGCAGGUCAUAGUGAUCCGGUGGUUCUGAAUGGAAGGGCCAUCGCUCAACGGAUAAAAGGUACUCCGGGGAUAACAGGCUGAUACCGCCCAAGAGUUCAUAUCGACGGCGGUGUUUGGCACCUCGAUGUCGGCUCAUCACAUCCUGGGGCUGAAGUAGGUCCCAAGGGUAUGGCUGUUCGCCAUUUAAAGUGGUACGCGAGCUGGGUUUAGAACGUCGUGAGACAGUUCGGUCCCUAUCUGCCGUGGGCGCUGGAGAACUGAGGGGGGCUGCUCCUAGUACGAGAGGACCGGAGUGGACGCAUCACUGGUGUUCGGGUUGUCAUGCCAAUGGCACUGCCCGGUAGCUAAAUGCGGAAGAGAUAAGUGCUGAAAGCAUCUAAGCACGAAACUUGCCCCGAGAUGAGUUCUCCCUGACUCCUUGAGAGUCCUGAAGGAACGUUGAAGACGACGACGUUGAUAGGCCGGGUGUGUAAGCGCAGCGAUGCGUUGAGCUAACCGGUACUAAUGAACCGUGAGGCUUAACCUUACAACGCCGAAGCUGUU
Molecule: ribosomal RNA, 2565 nt
Filed under: Escherichia coli
Lineage: Bacteria; Pseudomonadati; Pseudomonadota; Gammaproteobacteria; Enterobacterales; Enterobacteriaceae
Description: partial 23S ribosomal RNA
Rfam family: Bacterial large subunit ribosomal RNA
Source: RNAcentral